This 458-nucleotide ribosomal RNA is filed under the name uncultured bacterium. RNAcentral's name for it is "bacterial SSU rRNA". It matches the Rfam family "Bacterial small subunit ribosomal RNA", at positions 338 to 795 of the family's 1533-position model. The record is from RNAcentral.
CCUACGGGUGGCAGCAGUGAGGAAUAUUGGUCAAUGGGGGAAACCCUGAACCAGCGACGCCGCGUGAAGGAUGAAGGGGCUUUGCCCUGUAAACUUCUGUCGGAUGGGAAGAAAAGCCCCUCAUGGGGGCUGGGACUGUACCAUCAAAGGAAGGAUCGGCUAACUACGUGCCAGCAGCCGCGGUAAUACGUAGGAUCCAAGCGUUGUCCGGAUUUACUGGGUGUAAAGGGUGCGUAGGCGGACAUGUGCGUCAGAGGUUAAAUGUCACGGCUNAACCGUGAACCUGCCUUUGAUACGGCAUGUCUGGAGUGUGAGAGAGGAUGGUAGAAUUCCUGGUGUAGCGGUGAAAUGCGUAGAUAUCAGGAGGAAUACCAGUGGCGAAGGCGGCCAUCUGGCUCACAACUGACGCUGAGGCACGAAAGCGUGGGGAGCAAACAGGAUUAGAUACCCGGGUANUC